This 738-nucleotide long non-coding RNA is filed under the name Dromaius novaehollandiae (emu). RNAcentral's name for it is "lncRNA (ENSDNVG00000007471.1)". Lineage: Eukaryota; Metazoa; Chordata; Aves; Casuariiformes; Dromaiidae. The record is from RNAcentral.
AAUUAUUUCCUGACAUCCUCAAGAACAGAAAGGAUUCUAGUAUCUCACUUGAGGGCAGCCCUGCUCCACACUGUCCCUUAUUUGGGUCAAUUAACAAGACCCCUGCCCCCAUUUAACUGGGCAGCCAUCAAGGUUGAAAGACCCUCCAUCUUCCCUUUUCUGAGAGGUGAGUGACACUGGCCUGAUGGGAAAUAGUGAAUUCUCUCUAUGCAGAGCUAGUCGGUGGUGAAAAAAAUUCAUAAAAUUAUCUAUAGAUUAUACCUACUUUCUCUGAAUAGUCUUAGUUUCAGUAUUGAUGGCCCAAUGUAGAAAUGUUUAACAUAAGCCGAAUAAACGUAGCCAAAUUAAAGCAUAUGAGGAAAAUGGUAUGUACUUGGAAAACAUUAGGAGUUAGUAGGAUGAAAUAGCAUGUGAUAGUUAAACUACCAUAUUUUUUGCGGGGAUGUUUCAUUACAGAGACUGAUGACUAUUUCUACAAAUAUCCCACAGAGUAUUCAGUUAUGCUGGAAGAAGGCUGAAGAUGACAUACCAGAAGCUAUGCAAGAGAGAUGAUACACAUUAUUUUAAUUUUAUGAGGCUGUAGAUCUUGGGAAAAGGAGCAAUUUAUAAUGCCACUCUUUACAAUAAUUAAGAAGUAUGUGGUCUUCUACUGUGGAAGGAACAAAUUAAAUACUGUGGACUCUAAAGGUAAUGUUUUUAUCAUGAUAUAUAAGUAUGGUUCUACAUUGUUUACUGAGG